CACACACACACACACACACACACACACACACACACACACACACUCACUCACUUACACAUAAUAUACAGAAACAAGAAAUGAUGUAUAUAUUUGAUUAUAAACAGACAAUCAUACGAAUACAUAUCAUUUUCUUAUACAUAACCCGUUUUUAUAUCAAUUUCAGUUUUCCUGCUUUACAACCUCCAGUUUAUCGCUUGUAUUUCAAACCAUUUUUUUUCUAAUUUUCCUAAAAACAAAACGACUGCUUUUCUGCAUGCAAUUUUGACAAUAGUCUUUACUUGUCAUAUUAGAUCUAAUGAGAUUUUGUACAGUAAUGAUAAGAUCAUAGACUCAUUAUAAAGAUGAAUUCAUUUUCUUACUUCUGUUUUAGAAAGUUUGAGAUGAAUAGUAGCAGUUCCUUGCGCUUGCAUUCAUUCAAGAUAUAGAUUUUCAUCAUCUCUUUGUAACUCAAUAUUAUUAUUUUUUUAGUCUUGUGUUUUAAUAUAUCGAAAGUUUGGCGAACAAAGCAAACAAUCUUUUAUUCAAGAAAAUGAAAGGAAAUUAAUUUUUUACCCUGGUUUUUACAUUUCAAUUUCUUAUGUUCAAAUUUCUGUUAUUUGAUUUAAGUUACCAUGGUAAGUCUUUAGACCACCAUUCUAUAGUUCCAUUUUUUUUAAAGAAGUUAUCGACAUUUCGUUGUUACAGAAGAGGCAUCCCAUUUGACUGUCUUCAACUGUCCUGUCAUUCAAGGUUUUAGUUGACGAUGGAUUCUUCUUCAAGUUUCUUUGUCUUUAUGCUGUUGUUAUGCCAUUAUCUUGAAUCACUCUAUCUGUAACGCUAUGCGCUUAACGCAGUUGAAAGUAUAACCAUUUUCCCUUUUCGUUUCCAUCUGUGGAGUGUGUCAUAAACUUCCGUUUUUUUCUUUUCGUUUCUUUGGACCUUUAACAUGAAAAAGCAAAAAAUAUUUCUAAACUUCUCUCCUCUUUACGUUUGCUUGUUUGAUUGUUUGUUGUUUCCUGAUCAUCCAGUGUUUCUUCGCCACCUGUUCUACGCAGAAUGUUCUUCUCUGUGCCCUAAUACAUGUUCUCUUCCUCUGCAGUGGUCCGCUCCAGGGCGGGGGUCAGUGCUCCCCAUCCCCCCCUACCGUCCUGCCUUCAGAACUAUUCCCAACAAUAAUCUUCAACAAAGCUAAGAAAACCUGCUCUAAUGGUAACACAUACGAACAAUGUUCAUGAACGUUCCGAUUAAGCGCUGAGUAGGUGUGUGUGUCAUGAGUGAUGCCCACGGACGACCUUCAAUGUCAUGAGGCGCUUCUGACGACUAUGGUUCAUGAACUUUCUUCUCAAAAAAAAAAAAAAAAAAAAAAAAAAAAAAAAAAAAAAAGGACACGUGUGAAUUAUUUUUUUCCCUUGGAUAUGCAUCUGAUGAUCACCUGAUUUUCUCUCUCAUAAGCCUCAGCACUGAAUAGCAAGUACGUUCUUCGCAGAAUAAGGCUAUGAGUGAUUAAAAAAAAAAAAGUACUUUAUACAUAUGCUGAAAUCCUUAUUUUGUUCUUGUAUUCAUACACCGGGACACCAAUCUGAAGGGGAAGGACACCAGCUCUCCGUACCUGGGGAGGAAGCACGCGACGUCACUGUGGCAGGAUGUACGUAGGGAGGAAGGACGGGGUGCCCUUAGCCUUCUGUCUGCCGAGCUUAUCACACACGGGUGGAAUUGGACACAGCGCCGUCUGCGAGCCCACGCAUUUUAGAAGAGUUACUCCGGGAAGAAAACGGGACUAGUUAUGAGGGAUGAGAGAAAAUGGGAACGAGUUUUCGAGCAUAGACAAUAAUAUUGUAGACAUUUUUUUGAUGUCAGUGGUUCAAGGACGAGAAACGGGACAACUAUGAACCAAAAAAUAAAAACUCGGGAUAGAUGAUGUUUUUAGACGAGAACAAGGAGUGAUGAAGACCGUGAUUUUCUUAUUUUUAUCAAAGAAUUGUUAUAUUAAUUCUAGUGUGUAAAUAUUCUCAACGUAAGAUUUGCUUGUGGCAAUGUUUGUUAGGAAGGUUAGUUUUAAUGGUUACUGAAACUGUUUCAGAAUUUGUUUUACUUUCCCUCAUUUCAUACGAUAGACACAACGGUGUACAGUUAUUACAAAAAAAAUGUUUACAUGUUAGAUUUUGAAUAAUUCAUUUUCUUUUGCCGGAACGUGAGAGCUUUUCAUUAGCGAAGUAAAAGAGCCACAGAUUUGAUGUGUUGCCCGAGAUGCCAUGCGUAAACAGGCAAAAAUAUGUCGUUGACUCUUUUUAUUGUACUGUACAUAUCUAGCGACGAAGUGUAAACCUGGCGAUUUUUUCCGAAAAAAAAAUAUGAUCCUUUUUUAAAAAUAUUGUAGGUAACGUUUCAAAUAGGUGCUAUUGUUUAUUUUGUAUGCAGUGAGAGGGAACUUGAAUGAACCAACCCGCUAAAGGUAACGUAAAACUGCUACAAGUGAUUCUGUCUUUUUAUAUAAUGUCUACUGAAUUGUAUUUAUAUACUCCACUUGUAUUAUGGUUACACGAUUGUCAUUAUGCAAUGAUCUACUCAAAUUAAUUGGCUUUCACACACCAGAUCCACCCUCCGUCCAUCUUUUAGCAUUGACAGCGUAUUUUUCUCCAGGUUUUUGCACUUGUCAUUGUUGGAAUCAUGACGUCAUAGAUAUGAUUCGUUGUGACGUCACCUUAAAUAGUGACGUCACCCUCCUGCAGCGCUGCCAGAUGUAAGCAUGGACAGAGGUGUGUGAUAUCCUUCACUCUGAAAGAUGAUUUAUAUUAUUGUAUUAAGCUUUUUUGGACGCACCUCGAGUGUCUAUAGGUUUCCUGACGCUCUCCAUUGUUAACAAGAAAAAAAUAAAUAAAUAUAUACAUAUACAUAUAAAUAUAUAUAUAUAUACAUAUACUUGUGAAAAUGAUAAUAAGUUGCGUACUGAUGCAUGAGCCGUGACAGGUAGAGUGUAUGCCAUAGAUAUCAUUGCCGCAGUUGAGAAUAUAUUCCAGUUUUUCCCUCCAGUUUCAUGAUAUAACCAUUAUACUGAGAUUCGACGCAGUUAAAAGUCGUGUUAAAGUCACCCAGAGUCUGUUUUUUACCUAACUGUGUGAAAUAUUAUGAAUGAGCUUGUCACUGCUGAAGGUCGUAUGGAGAAGACAAACAAAGUGAUACUUAUUGUGUCACUGUAACUGUAUUUCACUGUAACUUUAAGCAAGUGUAAUCAAAUAAGAGAUAUGACUUACAGUGAUAGGCUCAUUUUUUUAUUUGUUUUAGCCGUAUUAGGUAUAUAGGCCUACUCUCUGCAUUGGAGAUGUGUGACUAUUAUAAACUACGCGGUCAUUAACCAUUAUAUCUUUUGUUUCUAUGUUUAAUAUAUAUUAAGUUCUUUGUAUUUCAUUUUAGAGUUAACCAUUCCUAUAUUAGUUUGCAUUCCCUUAGCAUGAGGGUCGAGCUGAGCGCGCCGAAGCGUCCAUUUUUGUUUUAUUGUUUGUUUUUGUUCAUCCUUGUGUCCUUACGACCGUGGCUGUGGGUGUAUUGUGAUUGUGCGUAUGUGUCUAUUGUGUGGGGUAUUUUGAGUGUGCGUGUGUGUGUGUGUGUGUGUGUGUGUGUGUGUGUGUGUGUGUGUGUGUGUGUGUGUGUGUUUGUUUGUUUGUGUGUUUGCGCGCGCGCAUGUGCGUAUGCUGUGCGUGUGAACGUGUGAAUGUGUGUGUUUCAAUAUGCGUGUCUGAGUGUGUCUGUGUCUGUGCAUGUACAUCCAUACAGACACACCCUAAACACACACCCGAUUUAGCAUGGACCUCCACAUCUUCAACAAAAAAAAUAAAAAUAAAGAAAAAAUGAA
RNAcentral lists this long non-coding RNA (3829 nucleotides) under Penaeus chinensis. RNAcentral describes it as "uncharacterized LOC125047019, transcript variant X2". The record is from RNAcentral. Lineage: Eukaryota; Metazoa; Arthropoda; Malacostraca; Decapoda; Penaeidae.